GGAUGAACGCUGGCGGCGUGCCUAAUACAUGCAAGUCGAACGCUUUGUGGUUCAACUGAUUUGAAGAGCUUGCUCAGAUAUGACGAUGGACAUUGCAAAGAGUGGCGAACGGGUGAGUAACACGUGGGAAACCUACCUCUUAGCAGGGGAUAACAUUUGGAAACAGAUGCUAAUACCGUAUAACAAUGACAACCGCAUGGUUGUUAUUUAAAAGAUGGUUCUGCUAUCACUAAGAGAUGGUCCCGCGGUGCAUUAGCUAGUUGGUAAGGUAACGGCUUACCAAGGCGAUGAUGCAUAGCCGAGUUGAGAGACUGAUCGGCCACAAUGGGACUGAGACACGGCCCAUACUCCUACGGGAGGCAGCAGUAGGGAAUCUUCCACAAUGGGCGAAAGCCUGAUGGAGCAACGCCGCGUGUGUGAUGAAGGGUUUCGGCUCGUAAAACACUGUUGUAAGAGAAGAAUGACAUUGAGAGUAACUGUUCAAUGUGUGACGGUAUCUUACCAGAAAGGAACGGCUAAAUACGUGCCAGCAGCCGCGGUAAUACGUAUGUUCCAAGCGUUAUCCGGAUUUAUUGGGCGUAAAGCGAGCGCAGACGGUUAUUUAAGUCUGAAGUGAAAGCCCUCAGCUCAACUGAGGAAUUGCUUUAGAAACUGGAUGACUUGAGUGCAGUAGAGGAAAGUGGAACUCCAUGUGUAGCGGUGAAAUGCGUAGAUAUAUGGAAGAACACCAGUGGCGAAGGCGGCUUUCUGGACUGUAACUGACGUUGAGGCUCGAAAGUGUGGGUAGCAAACAGGAUUAGAUACCCUGGUAGUCCACACCGUAAACGAUGAGUGCUAGGUGUUUGAGGGUUUCCGCCCUUAAGUGCCGCAGCUAACGCAUUAAGCACUCCGCCUGGGGAGUACGACCGCAAGGUUGAAACUCAAAGGAAUUGACGGGGACCCGCACAAGCGGUGGAGCAUGUGGUUUAAUUCGAAGCAACGCGAAGAACCUUACCAGGUCUUGACAUCCCUUGACAACUCCAGAGAUGGAGCGUUCCCUUCGGGGACAAGGUGACAGGUGGUGCAUGGUUGUCGUCAGCUCGUGUCGUGAGAUGUUGGGUUAAGUCCCGCAACGAGCGCAACCCUUAUUACUAGUUGCCAGCAUUCAGUUGGGCACUCUAGUGAGACUGCCGGUGACAAACCGGAGGAAGGUGGGGAUGACGUCAAAUCAUCAUGCCCCUUAUGACCUGGGCUACACACGUGCUACAAUGGCGUAUACAACGAGUUGCCAACCCGCGAGGGUGAGCUAAUCUCUUAAAGUACGUCUCAGUUCGGAUUGUAGGCUGCAACUCGCCUACAUGAAGUCGGAAUCGCUAGUAAUCGCGGAUCAGCACGCCGCGGUGAAUACGUUCCCGGGUCUUGUACACACCGC
RNAcentral lists this ribosomal RNA (1411 nucleotides) under uncultured Bacilli bacterium. RNAcentral describes it as "bacterial SSU rRNA". It matches the Rfam family "Bacterial small subunit ribosomal RNA", at positions 27 to 1393 of the family's 1533-position model. The record is from RNAcentral. Lineage: Bacteria; Bacillati; Bacillota; Bacilli.